GGUGCUGUAUAUUGCUGUGGGCUGCUGUGUAUUGCCGUGUGUCCUGUCAGAUAAACCCCCGCCUUCACGCACUUCGUCGCGGGAGGACAAGGAGACUGCUGGUCCUAGCCUAGUUCAGUAUAGUAUAUGUUGUGAGCGUGCUUCAGAUCUCCGGAGAUAGCACAGUACGCUGUGUCCAGCCCAGAGGUGAGAGCCAUUCAAAGCAAACUAACUGUGCUAUUGUGCCCAAGUUGAUACCUGUGGAGAGAAAAGGAGAGAGAGUGGGUAACACGAGGAGAGAUCGAGGAAACCUGUACUUACGCCGCUGCCUGUGGAGAGAAAAGGAAAGAGAGAGUGAGUAACACAAGGAGAAACAGAGGAAACCUGUACUUACAGUACGCUGUGUUCAGCCCAGAGGUGAAAGCCAUCCAAAGCAGAGUAACUGUGCUUUGCGUCCAAGUUGAUACCUGUGGAGAGGAAAGGAAAGAGAGAGUGAAUAACACGAGGAGGAAUAGAGCGAACCCUGUACUUACAGUACGCUGUGUCCAGCCCAGAGGUGAGAGCCAUUCAAAGCAAACUAACUGUGCUAGUGUGCCCAAGUUGAUGCCUGUGGAGAGAAAAAGGAGAGAGAGUGGGUAACACGAGGAGAGACCGAGGAAACCUGUACUUACGCCGCUGCCUGUGGAGAAAGAGAAAGCGAGUGAGCACCCAAGGAACGAACUGUGUGAACCAGUACUUACUGUGAGCUGUAAUCAGCGAAGAGGUGAGAGCAAAACCAAGCUGAACUAACUGUGCCUGUGUGUCCCAGCCGUUGCCUGUGGAGAAAGAGAAAGAGAGUGAGCACCCAGAGAACGAACUGUGUGAACC
This is a long non-coding RNA of Cyprinus carpio carpio, 846 nucleotides long. Lineage: Eukaryota; Metazoa; Chordata; Actinopteri; Cypriniformes; Cyprinidae. The record is from Ensembl.